AAGUCAAAAUUAAGACAGAGGAUUUAUAGCUACUGAGUACAGGAAAAACAAAGAAUGUUUUAACAUAUGGAUAAAAGAGGUAGUGAUUGAGGGAAAGAAUGCAAAAACACAAUACACCAAUGACCUCCUCAUCAGUUCUACAACCUAACCAAAGCCCAUAUUCUGAGCUUUCUCUAAAAACCAGGAAUACAAGCUGGAAAAACGGAGGGACGAAGAGGACAGACUCAACUCUCGGACGGGACCGCCAGCAUCCGUCACACCUACAUCGGGUGGAAAGACCAACGAGUAUGUGAGAAAACCAUGUUUGAAGCAUUUGUCUGCAUGUUACAACAGGCUGGUGGGCAACAUAUGGAGCACAAACCCAAA
Long non-coding RNA from Sander lucioperca (pikeperch), 366 nucleotides. RefSeq lists it as uncharacterized. The transcript has 3 exons. Lineage: Eukaryota; Metazoa; Chordata; Actinopteri; Perciformes; Percidae. The record is from RefSeq and is a predicted model, not a curated record.